Molecule: ribosomal RNA, 560 nt
Filed under: uncultured bacterium
Lineage: Bacteria
Description: bacterial SSU rRNA
Rfam family: Bacterial small subunit ribosomal RNA
Source: RNAcentral
CCUACGGGAGGCAGCAGUGGGGAAUAUUGGACAAUGGGCGCAAGCCUGAUCCAGCAAUGCCGCGUGAGUGAUGAAGGCCUUAGGGUCGUAAAGCUCUUUUACCAGGGAUGAUAAUGACAGUACCUGGAGAAUAAGCUCCGGCUAACUCCGUGCCAGCAGCCGCGGUAAUACGGAGGGAGCUAGCGUUGUUCGGAAUUACUGGGCGUAAAGCGUACGUAGGCGGUUAUUCAAGUCAGAGGUGAAAGCCCGGGGCUCAACCCCGGAACGGCCUUUGAAACUAGGUAGCUAGAAUCUUGGAGAGGUCAGUGGAAUUCCGAGUGUAGAGGUGAAAUUCGUAGAUAUUCGGAAGAACACCAGUGGCGAAGGCGACUGACUGGACAAGUAUUGACGCUGAGGUACGAAAGCGUGGGGAGCAAACAGGAUUAGAUACCCUGGUAGUCCACGCCGUAAACGAUGAUAACUAGCUGUUCGGGCACUUGGUGCUUGAGUGGCGCAGCUAACGCAUUAAGUUAUCCGCCUGGGGAGUACGGUCGCAAGAUUAAAACUCAAAGGAUUGACGG